GGGUCGUUAGCUCAGUUGGUAGAGCAGUUGACUUUUAAUCAAUUGGUCGCAGGUUGAGCAGUUGACUUUUAAUCAAUUGGUCGCAGGUUCGAAUCCUGCACGACCCACCA
This 110-nucleotide transfer RNA is filed under the name Klebsiella michiganensis. RNAcentral describes it as "tRNA-Lys". It matches the Rfam family "tRNA". Rfam says of the family: Transfer RNA (tRNA) molecules are approximately 80 nucleotides in length. Their secondary structure includes four short double-helical elements and three loops (D, anti-codon, and T loops). Lineage: Bacteria; Pseudomonadati; Pseudomonadota; Gammaproteobacteria; Enterobacterales; Enterobacteriaceae. The record is from RNAcentral.